Molecule: long non-coding RNA, 973 nt
Organism: Myotis davidii
Lineage: Eukaryota; Metazoa; Chordata; Mammalia; Chiroptera; Vespertilionidae
Exons: 2
Source: RefSeq, a predicted model, not a curated record
GAACUAGGUCUGUAAUUCGAGUUUAUUAAUUAAACGUGCUUUUUAAAAGUCCCGCUUAAAACCGACAAGGCAUGGUUUCAAUGGGGGCGUGAGGAGGGGGUGAAGAGUUGAGGGAAUUCUAUUCACUGUCCUACAAAAAAGUCCCAUAUUUUCUGAAAUCCUUCCAGUCAGGUAAUCCUCUUUUAAAAUGCAAAUUUUUCCUCCAAGACACCAGAGGUACGGUGCCUGUCGGUCACAUCUUUCUCUUACUGGGUUGAUUUAAAUAACACUAGUUUCCUUGCGGGAUUCUGAUUGAAAGGAGGUUUCUGGAAGCCUCGGCACUGAUAUGGUAAAACAGGCCUUAGGAGGGACAGAGGGGUGAGGAAACAAAAUUUUCACCUGUUGUAGCCAACCUUUCUUGCAUAGCUCUAAUCCUAAGAACAACUUUAUAAGCUAGAAAUUAACUAUUUCAUGCUCAGUUUACCCCUCCAGCAGCUGAGGCCUAAGAGAAAAGUAGCUGCAGGUGGCAGGGCUGGGCCUCUUCUGGCCUGAAGUUCUUCAGAGACCCUUCUAGGUCCUCUGCCGGGUCCCUGGUCCGCCGAGGUCCUUUGCGGACUAGUGGGUGGGAGAGCUGGUCUGGGGAGAAUGGGAAGGGGGGCCGGGGCUCGAGAGUCAUGCUAGCCCCGGCGGAAAGGAGGCCCACAACCUGCUCUCCCGCCCUCAGUUCCCCACACAUCCGGCUUGUAAACUGGACUAUGGCCCCAGCCGAUUCACAGCAACUCCAGCGGGCAGGCCUUGCACUGGCAGCCCAUUUUACAGAUUCUGCGACAUUAAAGGCUCUUCCUAGGGAGAGGAAGCGGAGUUUACCAAUCCAAAAUGUGACCUUUUCUAGGUAUUAUUUUAAGCUGAAAAACCUUCAACCUGUCUUGCACCCAUAGUCUAUUGGAACAUUCAUAUGUACAUAUGUAAUAAAUUUGCUCAUUUUCUCCCGUUA